UACAGAGGUGGCAAGCGUUGUUCGGAAUUACUGGGCGUAAAGGGCGCGUAGGCGGUUCGUUAAGUCCGCUGUGAAAGUCGGGGGCUCAACCCUCGAAUGCCGGUGGAUACUGUCGGGCUAGAGUGCGGAAGAGGCGAGUGGAAUUCCUGGUGUAGCGGUGAAAUGCGCAGAUAUCAGGAGGAACACCAAUUGCGAAGGCAGCUCGCUGGGACGUAACUGACGCUGAGACGCGAAAGCGUGGGGAGCAAACAGG
Molecule: ribosomal RNA, 253 nt
Filed under: uncultured bacterium
Lineage: Bacteria
Description: partial 16S ribosomal RNA
Rfam family: Bacterial small subunit ribosomal RNA
Source: RNAcentral